This 1020-nucleotide long non-coding RNA is filed under the name Gigantopelta aegis. RNAcentral describes it as "uncharacterized LOC121389532". The record is from RNAcentral. Lineage: Eukaryota; Metazoa; Mollusca; Gastropoda; Neomphalida; Peltospiridae.
GUGUCACAAGUCAAGGGUACUAAAAUAAGAACCAUAUUAUAUUUUAGAACAUUUAUUGUAAAUACUUGGGUAAUUGAGAAUAUAUUGUUGAACUGUGUGUCAUAGCUUGCUAAGGCAAACUAUAUUUUUAUACUGUAAUCACUAGCAGAGGUGUUUGUAAAGAACUUGGGCUUGGGCUUACAUUGGUGAACACUUUUGGUUGUGAGUGAAGAAUGCAUAGUGGGGAUAUAGUUGGGAGAUGUAAUGAGUUGUGGGCAGUCACAUAACGUUCUUGAGAGAGAAACUGUGUGUUAAGAUAUUGUGAAAUAUUUUAUUCUGUAUAACUCUGGGUUGAUGACAACCUGUAUUUGUGUAUUGGGUCCUGGUGAUGACGAACGUAGAUGAUGUAUUCUGGGAGUUGGCGAAGAGUGAGUCUGGUGAAUGGCGGUGGUGAUAAUGGUGAACAGAGAAGAUGAUCAGUGAAUGAUCGUGACGACGGUGUCAAUGAUUUUGGCGAACGACGAAGGUGAUCUGUGAAUGAUCCUGACAAAGAGUGUUGAUGAUUCGGGUGAAUGAUGGUGGUAAUACUGGUGAAUGGAGGAGAUGAUCAGUGAAGGAUCGUGAUGAGGGUACCAAUGAUUAUGGUGAACUGAGAUGAUCAGUGAAUGACCGUGACGAGGGGGUUAGUGAUUCUGGUGAACGACAGGGGUAUUAAUAGUAAACGACAACGGUGAUCAGUGAAUGAUCAUUAUGAGGUGUGAUGAUUCUAGUGAAUGAUAAUAAUGAUAAUGGGGAAUGGUGAAGAUGAUCAGUGAAUGAUCAUGACAAGGAUGACGAUGAGGGUGACUUAUGAUGAUGAAUUGUGAAAUGUGAUGAAUAGUGGAAGACAGACAUUUUAGUAUUAUUUUGUGGUUAAAAGAUUUUUACUCUAUUUAAUAUUGAUUCAUAGUUUAAUUUACAUGUGAUAUAUGUUACAUGCGUGAUAGUGCAAUAUGUAUUGGUUGGGAGGGAAGUGUUAUGUAAAUAAAUGUGUAUGAAUGA